Long non-coding RNA from Tribolium castaneum (red flour beetle), 1629 nucleotides. RefSeq lists it as uncharacterized. NCBI's taxonomy places the organism in Eukaryota, Metazoa, Arthropoda, Insecta, Coleoptera, Tenebrionidae. The transcript is spliced from 4 exons. The record is from RefSeq and is a predicted model, not a curated record.
AUGUUGAGAAGAAUAUUUAUUAACGUCAACAGUUACAAGAUAACGAAACUUUGCGACUUUUCUGUUGUUACAUUUCAUUUGCUGGUUCUUUGCUUACAAAUAUUAUACAUGAUUAGAAAUUUCAACGUAAAUCUGUUGAUCAGAUACGGCCCGACGACUGCACUUUUCCUGCUUGUAAAUGAAAUAGAACUGUUGUGAUAUGUGUUGACUUAACGUUUUUUUGAGAUGAUUGUGUCAGCAGUUCUUUCUGGGGCUUUGGAAAAUGACAUUGGCACAACACUAGGAUUUUCUCAGAAAAUUUGUUGGUCGCUUGAUGUAAUAGGAAAAAAUGCUCGAAUGAAGCUCGAGAGAAAUGAUUAAUGUCACUAUAUCAGCCAUUUUGCUGCUUUUGUCAAGUACUUUAGUUAUCAACUUGCCCUUUUUUGGGUACCACAAAGAUGUUUUCAUGUGUAUUCAAGUUUUUGAGACUUACUUUGGCACGUGGUCGUAUUUGUUAAAUGUAUUAUAUUUCACCGUGUUGCCAAUUUUGAGCUACCAUGGAGUUAAACCAUGUUUUAUUUUUGUUUACGCCAUAUUACAAAUACAGCUGCAAUUCUCCCUCAUUGAAGAGUAUUUGUUUCAAACAUAUGAGGUGGAUCAUUUGAAAAGUUGGAAGUAUUUACAAGACGCCCGCUAUCAACAAGAAAUAGGAAAUUCCUUACGUCGUUGCAUACAACACCACAUUGCUUUGAAACAGUUUUAAUUGCUCAAAUUACGAAAAUAUUUUUGUUAAUAAUUCUGUAUAGGUUUGUUAAAAUGAUGGUUGAUGUUGUACUGAUAUACAUGCCGUUUAUUUUUGUACUGGGUUUGUUCCUUUUGAUUACCUGUUUUGCGUUUAUCAUAAAUUUUGCGGAGACUACGACUAACAUUAUAAAAAUACAAGUAUUCAUGUUUGUCGCAAGUACUUUGGGCAUCACUAUACUGUUUUGUUGGAAUGGUCAGCAACUGAAAAAUGUGAGGAGCAAUAUUUUUUUUACUUUGGGCAGAGCUCCUUGGUACUUUUGGAAUCUUGAAAACAUUAAAAUUCUUUUAAUGUUUAUUACAAAUUGUACCAAAAAUGACAGUAUUAUUCUGGCCGGGAUUUGUUUAGAUUACAAAAUGUUUGUUUCGGUCUUUCGAACCUCCAUCUCAUAUGCACUAGUUUUGUUCAAUUUUCGCAAACGCAGUUUCGGGUAAAACAACAGGAAGGAAAAUAUUGAAGUACCACAAUUCUUUUAAAUAUGCAUUUGUUGUAGUUUUUAGGUAAAUAUUUAAUAUUAUUAUGUAAGGUAUCAAAUUUGAAUUUUUUUGAUGUUCAAACUUACUUUUCUUGGAAUGUUGAAUGUUCUUAUUAAAAAUUUUAGUUACGAUAAAAAUUAAUUUUACGAUAAAAUAUAAUUGUUGCAACAAAUAAGAAUAAAAAACGUCACUUCAUAGUUCGAACAUCGUCGUUUGAACAGAGUUAUCAAUUUAUUGCUUUAAUUAAAAUAUUUAUUAAUCAAAAUUCUAAAACAAACGAUGGUUGAAUAAUACUUUGUGCAAAAAAUACGUAUGGAUUUUAGGAAACUUUCCUAACAUUCAAUUUUUAAGGGCUUUUCUUAAAACUCGAAA